RNAcentral lists this unclassified non-coding RNA (204 nucleotides) under Hevea brasiliensis (rubber tree). Lineage: Eukaryota; Viridiplantae; Streptophyta; Magnoliopsida; Malpighiales; Euphorbiaceae. The record is from RNAcentral.
AUUGGUCUUGUACGGUGUGAAUUCUGAGAUUAAAUCAACAAAACAACCUUAAAUAAACUUUCCUAGUAGAUAAUAAAUGACGAAUUACAAUAAAUAUCAGAAGUCAAAGUUGAUAAAAACUGAAAGCAAAAGCUGGAGUAUGCAUAGAACACAAUCAAAUUGGCAAAUAAUAAUGAUGACGAAGAUAUAUCAGCAGACAUAAAU